Molecule: long non-coding RNA, 624 nt
Filed under: Homo sapiens (human)
Lineage: Eukaryota; Metazoa; Chordata; Mammalia; Primates; Hominidae
Description: PCBP1 antisense RNA 1
Source: RNAcentral
UUUUUGAUUUUCUGGCUUUAUUGAAAGUGGACUAUUGAAGUCUCCUACUAUUAUUAUUAUUAUGGAAAUGGAGUCCUGCUUUGUCACCCAGGCUGGAGUGCAGUGGCAAAAUCUCGGCUCACUGAAACCUCCUCCUCCCGGGUUCGAGUGAUUCUCCUCCCUCAGCCUCCUGAGUAGCUGAGAUUACAGGUCACAGAAUUUUCCACACUCCUUGACAGAGCCCCCAUGUGUCACACAGACUCAGCCUCAGGUAGAUGGUUUCCGUAGAUGGUGGCUUUCUUUGGACCCUUGACAUCAACCAGUUACUAUUUGACUCUUCUGCAGAACCCCAUGUUGACCCCUGCUUUGAGGUGGCAGAGUUAACACUACUCUUCGUUAUAAGCUCUCGUCUGGGGCAACUCAGAAGAACGGGACCAGAUGUGCAGAGGUAAUGAAUACCAGGGAAUCAGGAAACCACUGGAUCAGUUCUUUGAGCCACAGAACAACACUCAUCCCAGCAGCUGGGAAGCUAUCUGCAAAAGUCCAUCUGCAGAAAGGGCUUCCUGGUCUUGCGUGUGGCUGGGCCAUUUCUCUGGAUGCAGGUUUUUCAUUAUACAGUCUUCUCAAAGAACCACCUGCUCUCAA